RNAcentral lists this long non-coding RNA (1140 nucleotides) under Manacus vitellinus (golden-collared manakin). RNAcentral describes it as "lncRNA (ENSMVIG00005007757.1)". The record is from RNAcentral. Lineage: Eukaryota; Metazoa; Chordata; Aves; Passeriformes; Pipridae.
UUCCCGUUGGUUUUCCACCACUUUUUGAUGGUUUCAAGACCUUCCCGUUGGUUUUCCACCACUUUUUGAUGGUUUCAAGACCUUCCCGUUGGUUUUCCACCACUUUUUGAUGGUUUCAAGACCUUCCCGUUGGUUUUCCACCACUUUUUGAUGUUUCCAAGACCUUCCCGUUGGUUUUCCACCACUUUUUGAUGGUUUCAAGACCUUCCCGUUGGGUUUCCGUCAGUUUUUGUUGGUUUUAAGCCAUUUUUUCAUGGAUUCAAGACCUUCCCAUUGGGUUCCACUCAUUUUUUAUGGUUUCAAACCAAUUUUUGAUGGUUUCAAACCCUUCCCGUUGGGUUUCCACCAUCCUUUGGUGCUUCCAGGACCUUCCCAUUGGGUUUCCAUCAGUUUUCGUCAUUUUUAAGCCAUUUUUUGAUGGUUUCAAGACCUUCCCAUUGGGUUUCCACUCAUUUUUGAUGGUUUCCAGUCAAUUUUUGAUGGUUUCAAACCCUUCCCAUUGGGUUUCCACCAUCCUUUGAUGCUUCCAAGACCUUCCCGUUGAGUUUCCAUCAGUUUUUGUCGGUUUUAAGCCAUUUUUUGAGGGUUUCAAGACCUUCCCGUUGGUUUCCCACCAUCUUUUCAUGGAUUCAAGACCUUCCCCUUGGCUUUCCACCCCUUUUUGAUGGUUUCAAGACCUUCCCCUUGGGUUUGAACCCCUUUUUGACGGUUUCAAACCAAUUUUUGAGGGUUUCAAGCCACUCCCAUCGGGUCUCCCACCAUUUUUGGGUCACUUUUAGGCCAUUUUUUGCCACUUUCGAGCCAUUUCUUGAUGGUUUCAAGCCAUUCCCGUUGGGUUCCCAACAUUUUUUUGUCACUUUUAAUCCAUUUUUUGACAAUUUCAUUGGUUUCCCACCAUUUUUUGUCACUUUUAGGCCAUUUAUUGACAAUUUCAAGCCAUUCCCAUUGGGUUUCCACCAUGUUAUGUUGGUUUUAGGUUAUUUUUCAAUUGUUUGAAAACAUUCCCGUUGGUUUCCCACCAAUUUCUGUCGCUUUUAGGCCAUUUUUUCCUGGUCUCAACCUACUUUUUGAUGCUUUCCCACCAUUUUUUGUCACUUUUGAGCCAUUUAUUGACAAUUUCAAGCCAUUCCCAUUGGGUUC